GCCUUCAUAAUGAAAUCAAAACAGCCUUCAUAAUGAAAUAAAAACAGAACUGACUACUUUCAUAACUUUGAUGAUGUUGGUCAAUUACAUUGAUGAAAUCAAAACAUAAGUUAGAUAAAGUCAGAUUACAUUUAUCAAAUCAAAACACUACUGCCUACUUUCAUAACUGAAAAGAAGACACUGCUAAUACAGCUUUGAGGCAACUUUCAACAACAUUGCCACUAAAAUAACAUUCAAAAAAAAGAUCACAAACAACAUCCCCACUAAGAUUUUCAACCACUUUUCCAACUUCACUAAGCUUUUCUCUAUAACAGCAAUUUUCAUCUUUUCACUAUAACUUUCUUUCAUCUGCACAACACUGUCUUCAUUGCUCAUCAGACCCACUUCUUCACCUGGUACAGUACCACUCCUUUCUANCAUUCUUUCAUUUCCUUCUUCAAUGCACCACUCAAAGAAGUUGCACCCAACCAAUUCGUCACUCCCACCNUGUUANAACAACACCGAGUCCUUCGUCAAAACCCAAAUAAAAAAGACAAACAUUCAUGGUUAUGGAAAACUCACCUUGAAAUUAGGGCAUCCCCAAAAUUUUUUCCCCUUGUUCUUACUGGUUCUGGCAAUACGACACAACAUUCUCACCACAAAAGCAUCUGGGUUUUGCACCCACCCUCUUCACACUCCCAGUACUGUGUUGAUUGGCAGAACCCAAACAUUUACAAGAGGUUGAUGAACGAGACAUAUCUUACCACCACCUCAAGACAACUCUUCUUCCCCAAGACGAAAGAAACCCCUUUUCUUCUUCUUCCCAAACGCGACAAUAACGAUGAGAAGGGAGGGGAUGCCCUU
This 843-nucleotide long non-coding RNA is filed under the name Vigna radiata. RNAcentral's name for it is "long non-coding RNA (VRAD_LNC000469)". Lineage: Eukaryota; Viridiplantae; Streptophyta; Magnoliopsida; Fabales; Fabaceae. The record is from RNAcentral.